UUUAAAUAGAGUGAGCAAGCAUAUAAUUAGGCUUGGGUUUCUCUUACAGCUUGUUUCAAGAUGUUCCAAAGAUCUGUAUUCAAAAGAGUGAAUCAAACUGGAGGAGAAGAACCGAGGAUAUCAUGUCUUGUUCUAUAUUCUGAGGAAGAACAGAAAUGAAGUCGGCCAUGUUUUGCAAAAUUGGCAAGAUCAUGAAGAUG
RNAcentral lists this long non-coding RNA (200 nucleotides) under Bos indicus x Bos taurus (hybrid cattle). RNAcentral's name for it is "lncRNA (ENSBIXG00000001629.1)". Lineage: Eukaryota; Metazoa; Chordata; Mammalia; Artiodactyla; Bovidae. The record is from RNAcentral.